This 350-nucleotide unclassified non-coding RNA is filed under the name soil metagenome. Its description in RNAcentral is "partial contains 5.8S ribosomal RNA, internal transcribed spacer 2, and large subunit ribosomal RNA". The stretch from base 2 to 120 matches the Rfam family "5.8S ribosomal RNA", at positions 36 to 154 of the family's 154-position model. The record is from RNAcentral.
UAUGAAGAACGUAGCGAAAUGCGAUAAGUAAUGUGAAUUGCAGAAUUCCGUGAAUCAUCGAAUCUUUGAACGCACAUUGCGCCCCCUGGUAUUCCGGGGGGCAUGCCUGUCCGAGCGUCAUUGCAACCCUCAAGCGCGGCUUGUGUGUUGGGCCCUCGUCCCCCGUGGACGUGCCCGAAAUGCAGUGGCGGCGUCGUGUUCCGGUGCCCGAGCGUAUGGGGCUUUGUCACCCGCUCUUGAGGCCCGGCCGGCNCCGGCCCAUCAACCAUCGAGGACCCGUUCCUCAACCAGGUUGACCUCGGAUCAGGUAGGGAUACCCGCUGAACUUAAGCAUAUCAAUAAGCGGAGGA